ACAGAAGAGAGCCAUUAUAAUGAGAGGCCACCUAAUGAAAAUUCGCACUUCUUUGCUGGUAGUAUAAGAAUAAUACCAAUAACACCACACACCUCGGUUCUUCUUGAUGAGGUUGCACGUGCUUCCCCUCUUCAUUUGUCCCGAAUUCGGUCUCUUCCGACGACGAGAACAUUUCGUGGUGGGAUACUCCAGGAUGGGUCAUCGUCGGCAUAGUUGUCGUUGCCUUUGUAAUCUGUGGUGCCCUUUUCUACUUUCGUCGUGGUCCUGAGGACGCAGAAAGCACUCUCCCGGCAAACGCGGAAAUCUUCCUUAAAUUGGACAGUGCGAGCAUUUCGUUUCGUUGUCGUUAGCAUUCUUCUCCUAGGACAAUAAGAUGCAAGCUUCUGGGCAUGUCUGUGUGAAACUCGAAUAAUUUAUAGUGACAGGUCGUCUAUUCUAGUAUCCAACAUUGGAGAUUUGAUGCAACAAAUAAUUGUGUUGGAGGAAAAAAAAAUUGUGAUGAAGGGUUUGUUAAA
Molecule: long non-coding RNA, 515 nt
Organism: Eucalyptus grandis
Lineage: Eukaryota; Viridiplantae; Streptophyta; Magnoliopsida; Myrtales; Myrtaceae
Exons: 2
Source: RefSeq, a predicted model, not a curated record